CCAGCGGUAAGUUUGGACCGUAAUCUGCAAUACUAUCGACCCUCCGUUAAGCAUCAAGUUGAGCAGUCUAACAGGUUAUGCAUUUGUUCGGAGUGCAGUGAAGGACUCCUGAAUCAUAAACACAUUUGCUAAUAUGCGAUAAAAAAAAAGGAAAACAGUCAUUUUUCAACUCAUAGGCAAGUCUCAUUAGCAUGUGCAAGUAUUGUCAUUUGUAUUUUUGGAUAACAAUGGUGCUGAAAGACUGGUUCCACAUUCAAAUUUGACGCCGGUACAUUCAGGUUCAAGUAUCAUUUUGGAAUUAUUUGACUGCAUGGUCAGCCUCUCACUCUUCACGUCUUCUGCUUUUCCCCAUAACACAACAUACAAGCCAAUGAUGAUUGCAGUUGCACCUAAUAUGCUGCACAACAAAAGGAUUACAUUAAAGAUCAUUCAUGUACACAGCAGUACAAACAAAAACAAAAUCUUAAAAGAAAGCAGUCUGAGCUGAAGUCUGAAUAACAGAGAUAUCCAAAUAUGAAAUGAAAUGCAUACGUAAAUACCUUCCUAUAUGAAGUUCCUCAUGAAGAAAGAUUGUAGAUAAUACUGUUGUGAUCACCGCACUCAGUGGUGUAAAGAUUGCGCUAUAAAGAGGGCCUUUAACUGAUAUGCACCAGGAUUGGAGAAAGAAGUUUGCGCCCGAGGCGAAAACACCCUACAAAAUUUACUCAACUUUGAUCACUUUAUGAAAUCCACACCAGUUCAAUUCAGACCAAUCAGUACACUAUCUUUCAAUGAAAAGAUCAAUAAGCACACCAGCACAGAUACACCAUUUUGAAAUGAACUUACUGCAUACAAGAUGCAGGGGAGCUCCCAAACCGAAGCAAGCUUCCAAAUCUCCAAGUAGUUUGAUUCUAGGAAGAAUGCCAUCACGGCGCACUGUAAGGUAGCUAAGAAGCUCAUCCAUGUUGCCAGAGACAGCGGAUCAAGGUACGAUCUGCAAACUGGCACCUGUGACACAGUAAAAGAUAAACGAAAAAUAGUGUCAAACUGUCAAUUGAAUUGGAUCCAUCACUGCCAACUCAAAAACUAAGAAAUUCAUAUAUAUUUUUUUGCACAGGGAUUAAUGCAUCAUCAUUUGGUAAAACACAACAAAUGGUUGCAUAAACUCGCCUGCAAGAUGUACCACAUGGAGACACAGAAAGCGGUUCCGAUGAGGUAGAUGCCUCCUUUCACCCAGUCAUCAUCGGCGGCCGCCGCUGCGAAGGGAAGCCCGCUGAGGAGCUUGGGCCCCUUGAAGAACGCCAUGGCAAUCGCUCCGGCUAGGCAGACGACGGUGCCGGCGAUCUUGGCCCAGCUCCUCGAGCUCCUCAAAUCCACCUUCUCCAACCUGCGCGCGCACGGAUUCGGAUUUCACAAGAUGAACUGACCAUGAACUGGGCUUCAAAUAAGCUGAGCCCAUGAACAGUUCGGCCCAAAAAUUGAACUGGGCCGUCCUGAUAGGCCGGGCCGUGUUUACACGAAGCUAUCGAGCCCAAAAAGGGGAGAGAUCGGCAGCCGGAGAAGGCGGCGGCGCCGGAGAUGGAGACGAUAUAGUACUAGUACCCGAUGACGGCGGCGAUGGCGAAGGUGAUGCCUGGGGCGAGGUUGGUGGUGGCCCUCGCCAUGGACGGCGACGCGAGCUGGAGCCCCUGGAAGUAGAAGUACUGCCCCGUCGCGCUGCCGAAAAAAACGAAACAGCCACCGGCGAUGAGCCACGCAUGCCCGACUCGAUAAAGGGAAACGGGCGGAGGAGGUCCGUGGUGGUUUCGCGCGCGUACCAGGCGAGGGAGGCGGCGAAGAGGAGCGCGAACGCCCGGGCGCCGACGGCCAUGUGGGGGANNNNNNNNNNNNNNNNNNNNNNNNNNNNNNNNNNNNNNNNNNNNNNNNNNNNNNNNNNNNNNNNNNNNNNNNNNNNNNNNNNNNNNNNNNNNNNNNNNNNNNNNNNNNNNNNNNCCCCCCGUCCGCCGCCUUGAGCGCCAUGUCCACCAGCGCGUAGAACCACUGCACCAGCACCAUCCCCGCGCACGGCCCGUACAGCUCCGCCCACCCUCCUCCUCCCCCGCCGCCGCCGCCGCCCGCCAUGCCGAGAUCCGCGGGAGCGAGCUGCCUACCGCCGCCGCAGCCGCAGCUGCCUCAGCUCACUCGCUCAGCUAAGCUGGAGCAUCCAUUUGCUAGUGUCAUCCAGCUGCCUACUCGUUUGUUUUAAUGUUCGUGAGGAUAUAAAAAGGAAAUGUUCGUGAGUUUUGCAAGAGGAUAAGAUGUUAACGUGUAUGGUUGCACCAUUACUCCAUUAUUAAAACAAGGGUUUUUUUUCUAAUAGAAAUUAAUUCUGAUAAGGUCAUCUGGGGUGCAUUAUUAGCUACGCAAACAUCAUUUCAUUUGGAUCUAUACGAGUAUCUGAAAACAAUAGCCUAACGUCUGAAACAUGCAUCUUUGAGAAUACGGAUUCAAUUGUCACAUAGUUACAUAACCAUAAUUUUUUUUUCUAAGGAACAUAUUUGGGGUGCUUAAUUAGAUUAGGAAUCACGAGGCAUUUGAUACCGCUUCAUGACUCCAUACUGAUAAUCGGUUAUCACGAAUUUUGUCUCUGAUCACUGCGAUUUCCCUGAUUUACACGUAAAGUAGUAAACGGAUUAGCAUGUGUGCUACUCAAUGUUGCAUACAGAUUUGCAUGGCUCGUGACUUUUUUUUAAGCUUACUUUCCUACCAAUGCUGCAUUUAUGGAAGAGGAGGAAUAUUUCAACUCUGAUGAGGUCAAAAGAAAGUUGAGGUGGUGCAUCAUAAGAGGCAAGUCGAACCUAACACUGAAAAUAUCCUCAAUUCACUUUCAUUCGCAAAGCAUGAAAGUAGUAGCCAUCACCUUCUCAUCUUCGUCUCCUCUAUGGGAUUCUUUCUUAUCAACCUUAGUGCGGUAGUGUCGGCCCUUCUUAGCACAGGUCUUGCUCAUUGGCACCUUUCAAUAUCUUCUAUCGUUCUUGGAAGACCAAUUUUAUUAUACAUAUAUGAGAAAAUCGGAAGAUAUCAUAUUUUCUAAUGCAAAAUUCGGUGCCUUCAUAUACUUUGUACAUCAAGGUGUAAACUUUUGUACCUAAAGGUAUUUUCUUACCGAUGGUAAAAUUGCCCAUCUUGAAAACGUACCCGGAGGCACCACAGUUAAUUUUGAUACCUGGACUGCGUUUGGCCCCUGUUUACUAACACUAGAUUCAUUUGUUUUUCAAGUACACUCUUUCCGAACUGCUAAACGGUGUAUUUUUUACAAAAAAAUUCUAUAAAAAAGUUGCUUUAAAAAAUCAUAUUAAUCUAUUUUAUAUUUUAAUAAUUAAUUAAUCAUGUACUAAUCUAUUACUACAUUUUCCGUGCCGGAUAACUAAAACCCAUCCUCCUUCAAACGAACGUGGCCCUAGAGGUAUUUUAUAUGGAUGGUAAAAUUGUUUGGGAAAUUUAUGCUGCAUGCACCAAGGGAAGAAGGUAAGCUGUGUUUCAUAGAAAAUGGUUAGUCCAGCCUUUCCUUGAAAAUAUGCCACGUCCACUUAUUACAAAGUUCUAAAGUUCUAGGAUAAACCAAUUAAAUAUGUUGAAAUAAACGAUGACAAGAAGACGGAGUAAAACGACAUCAGCCAGCAAAUGGGAUACAAGUUAUGUACUCCUUCUAUUCGAUUUGAUAUGGUAAAAUUUUCUGCUCUAGGCUAGAUUUCAUACAUUGAUAAGUGUAUAUGGUUUAUAGAUGUGUCUAGAUUUAUUUAUAUCCAUAUAAAUGUAGAUAAGAUUAGAAAGUCUUACAUCAUGAAAUAGAUGGAAUAGGGCUGCGUUAAGAAUCAAGUUGAGCAGUCUAACAGGUUAUGCAUUUGUUCGCAGUGCAGUGAAGGACUCCCGAAUCAUAAACACAUUUGCUAAUAUGCGAUAAAAAAAAUGGAAAACAGUCAAUUAUCAAGUCAUAGGCAAGUCUCAUUAGCAUGUGCAAGUAUUGGCAUUUGUAAUUUCAGAUAACAAUGGUGCUGAAAGAUUGGUUCCACAUUCAAUUUUGAGGCCUGUACAUUCAGGUUCAAGUAUCAUUUUGGAAUUAUUUGACUGGAUGGUCAGCCUCUCACUCUUCACGUCUUCUGCUUUACCCCAUAGCACAACAUACAAACCAAUGAUG
This 4156-nucleotide long non-coding RNA is filed under the name Oryza brachyantha (malo sina). RNAcentral's name for it is "long non-coding RNA (OBRA_LNC002484)". The record is from RNAcentral. Lineage: Eukaryota; Viridiplantae; Streptophyta; Magnoliopsida; Poales; Poaceae.